Molecule: ribosomal RNA, 252 nt
Filed under: Vibrio sp. BTKB32
Lineage: Bacteria; Pseudomonadati; Pseudomonadota; Gammaproteobacteria; Vibrionales; Vibrionaceae
Description: partial 16S ribosomal RNA
Rfam family: Bacterial small subunit ribosomal RNA
Source: RNAcentral
GGCUAAUACCGCAUGAUGCCUACGGGCCAAAGAGGGGGACCUUCGGGCCUCUCGCGUCAGGAUAUGCCUAGGUGGGAUUAGCUAGUUGGUGAGGUAAGGGCUCACCAAGGCGACGAUCCCUAGCUGGUCUGAGAGGAUGAUCAGCCACACUGGAACUGAGACACGGUCCAGACUCCUACGGGAGGCAGCAGUGGGGAAUAUUGCACAAUGGGCGCAAGCCUGAUGCAGCCAUGCCGCGUGUGUGAAGAAGGC